Molecule: ribosomal RNA, 1243 nt
Filed under: metagenome
Description: bacterial LSU rRNA
Rfam family: Bacterial large subunit ribosomal RNA
Source: RNAcentral
UGAAUACGAGAUGCUACGGCGUCGAAGCAGUGUAUGUCAGACUUCCAAGAAAAGCUCGCAAUGUCAUAAAUAAAGAAUGCCUGUACCAUAACCGACACAGGUGGGUAGGUAGAGUAUACUAAGGGGCGCGAGAUAACUCUCUCUAAGGAACUCGGCAAAAUAACUCCGUAACUUCGGGAGAAGGAGUGCCUUCUUUAAGAAGGUUGCAAUAACAAGAUCCAAGCAACUGUUUAUCAAAAACACAGGUCUCCGCUAAGUCGUAAGACAUGUAUGGGGGCUGACGCCUGCCCAGUGCCAGAAGGUUAAAGAAGUUGGUUAGCUUUUGCGAAGCUGAUGACUGAAGCCCUGGUGAACGGCGGCCGUAACAAUAACGGUCCUAAGGUAGCGAAAUUCCUUGUCGGGUAAGUUCCGACCCGCACGAAAGGCGUAAUGAUUUGGAUACUGUCUCGGAGAGGGACUCGGUGAAAUAGACUUGUCUGUGAAGAUGCGGACUACUUGCACCAGGACAGAAAGACCCUAUGAAGCUUUACUGUAACUUGAAAUUGAAAUUGGACUUUAUUUGCGCAGUAUAGGUGGAAGGCGUUGAAAGUAAUCUUGCGGGAUUAGUGGAGCCAUCAGUGAGAUACCACUCCUAUAAUGUUAGAUUUCUAACUUUGGAUCAUGAUCUGGUCAAAGAACAGUUUCAGGCGGGCAGUUUGACUGGGGCGGUCGCCUCCCAAAUGGUAACGGAGGCGUACAAAGGUUUCCUCUGUACGGGUAGAAAUCGUAUCUAGAGUGUAAAGGCAUAAGGAAGCUUGACUGUGAGACCUACAAGUCGAGCAGGGACGAAAGUCGGUCUUAGUGAUCUGACGGUGCUGAGUGGAAAGGCCGUCACUCAACGGAUAAAAGUUACUCUAGGAUAACAGGCUGAUCUCCCCCAAGAGUUCACAUCGACGGGGAGGUUUGGCACCUCGAUGUCGGCUCAUCGCAUCCUGGGGCGGUAGUACGUCCCAAGGGUUGGGCUGUUCGCCCAUGAAAGCGGUACGCGAGCUGGGUUCAGAACGUCGUGAGACAGUUCGGUCCAUAUCCGGUGUAGGCGUUAGAAUAUCGAGAGGAGCCUUCUUUAGUACGAGAGGACCGAGAAGGACAUACCUCUGGUGUACCAGUUAUCGUGCCAACGGUAAACGCUGGGUAGCUAUGUAUGGAGAGGAUAACCGCUGAAAGCAUCUAAGUGGGAAGCCCACCUCAAGAUGAGUAUUCUCAC